This 467-nucleotide ribosomal RNA is filed under the name uncultured bacterium. Its description in RNAcentral is "partial 16S ribosomal RNA". It matches the Rfam family "Bacterial small subunit ribosomal RNA", at positions 28 to 507 of the family's 1533-position model. The record is from RNAcentral.
GACGAACGCUGGCGGCGUGCUUAACACAUGCAAGUCGAACGGAAAGGCCUCUUUCGGGGGGUACUCGAGUGGCGAACGGGUGAGUAACACGUGAGUAACCUGCCCUUGACUUUGGGAUAACUUCAGGAAACUGGGGCUAAUACCGGAUAGGAGCUCCUGCUGCAUGGUGGGGGUUGGAAAGUUUCGGCGGUUGGGGAUGGACUCGCGGCUUAUCAGCUUGUUGGUGGGGGAGUGGCUUACCAAGGCUUUGACGGGUAGCCGGCCUGAGAGGGUGACCGGCCACAUUGGGACUGAGAUACGGCCCAGACUCCUACGGGGGGCAGCAGUGGGGAAUAUUGCACAAUGGGUGGAAGCCUGAUGCAGCAACGCCGUGUGCGGGAUGACGGCCUUCGGGUUGUAAACCGCUUUCGCUCAUGACGAAGCUUUGUGUGACGGUAGUGGGUAAAGAAGCACCGGCUAACUACGUA